AAUGAACGCUGGCGGCGUGCUUAACACAUACAAGUUGAGCGGUAAGGCACCUUCGGGUGUACACGAGCAGCGAACGGGUGAGUAACGCGUGGGUAAUCUACCCAUGAGGUGGAGGAUAGCCUCGGGAAACCGGGGGUAAUACUGCAUACGUCUCGACUGACAUAAGUCUAACGAGAGAAAGGCGGGGAUCUUCGGACCUGUCGCCUCUGGAUGAGCCCGCGUCCGAUUAGCUAGUUGGUGAGGUAAUGGCCUACCAAGGCAUCGAUCCGUAGCCGGCCUGAGAGGGUGAUCGGCCACACUGGAACUGAGACACGGUCCAGACUCCUACGGGAGGCAGCAGUGGGGAAUUUUGCGCAAUGGGGGAAACCCUGACGCAGCAACGCCACGUGGGUGAAGAAGCAUCUUGGUGUGUAAAGCCCUGUCGAUAGAGAGACUAAGACCUUUAGGUUAAGAGCUGAAAGGUUUGAAUGUAUCUAUAGAGGAAGCCCCGGCUAACUCCGUGCCAGCAGCCGCGGUAAUACGGGGGGGGCAAGCGUUAUUCGGAUUUACUGGGCGUAAAGGGUGCGUAGGCGGCCAGAUCAGUGAGAAGUGAAAGCCCUCGGCUCGACCGAGGAACUGCUUCUCAUACUGUCUGGCUAGAGAGUGGGAGAGGAGGAUGGAAUUUCCGGUGUAGCGGUGAAAUGGCGUAGAUACUUGGAGGAACACCGGUGGCGAAGGCGGCUUCCUGGCCAAUUACUGACGCUCAUACACGAAAGCGUGGGGAGCGAACGGGAUUAGAUACCCCGGUAGUCCACGCCGUAAACGAUGGGUACUUUGUGGUGCGGGUGUCGACCCCUGCACUGCAGCAGGAGCUAACGCAUUAAGUAGCCCGCCUGGGGAGUACGUUCUCAAGAAUGAAACUCAAAGGAAUUGACGGGGGCCCGCACAAGCGGUGGAGCAUGUGGUUUAAUUCGACGCAACGCGAAGAACCUUACCUGGGUUUGAACUGGGGUGGACCGGUGCAGAGAUGUACCUUUCCCUUCGGGGACUUUCGCAGAGGUGCUGCAUGGCUGUCGUCAGCUCGUGCCGUGAGGUGUUGGGUUAAGUCCCGCAACGAGCGCAACCCCUGCCCCUAGUUACCAGCGAGUCAUGUCGGGGACUUUAGGGGGACUGCCGGCGUCAAGCCGGAGGAAGGUGGGGACGACGUCAAGUCAUCAUGGCCUUUAUGUCCAGGGCUACACACGUGCUACAAUGGGCGGUACAAAGGGUCGCGAAACCGCGAGGUGGAGCCAAUCCCAAAAAGCCGUCCUCAGUUCGGAUUGCAGUCUGCAACUCGACUGCAUGAAGUUGGAAUCGCUAGUAAUCGCGUAUCAGAACGACGCGGUGAAUACGUUCCCGGGCCUUGUACACACCGCCCGUCACAUCACGAAAGUCGGUUGUACCAGAAGCCGGUGUGCCAACCUUAGGGAGGCAGCUGUCGAAGGUGUGAUUGGCGAUUGGGGUG
Molecule: ribosomal RNA, 1483 nt
Filed under: uncultured prokaryote
Description: partial 16S ribosomal RNA
Rfam family: Bacterial small subunit ribosomal RNA
Source: RNAcentral